Molecule: non-coding RNA, 74 nt
Organism: Gymnothorax javanicus (giant moray)
Lineage: Eukaryota; Metazoa; Chordata; Actinopteri; Anguilliformes; Muraenidae
Source: the annotation of a GenBank genome assembly
GUCAGAAUGGCCGAAGCGGUCUAAGGCGCCAUGCUUCAGUCCUGGAGGCGUGGGUUCGAAUCCCACUUCUGACA